RNAcentral lists this transfer RNA (76 nucleotides) under Marinilabiliales bacterium. RNAcentral describes it as "tRNA-His". It matches the Rfam family "tRNA". From Rfam's summary of the family: Transfer RNA (tRNA) molecules are approximately 80 nucleotides in length. Their secondary structure includes four short double-helical elements and three loops (D, anti-codon, and T loops). Further hydrogen bonds mediate the characteristic L-shaped molecular structure. tRNAs have two regions of fundamental functional importance: the anti-codon, which is responsible for specific mRNA codon recognition, and the 3' end, to which the tRNAs corresponding amino acid is attached (by aminoacyl-tRNA synthetases). tRNAs cope with the degeneracy of the genetic code in two manners: having more than one tRNA (with a specific anti-codon) for a particular amino acid; and 'wobble' base-pairing, i.e. permitting non-standard base-pairing at the 3rd anti-codon position. The record is from RNAcentral. Lineage: Bacteria; Pseudomonadati; Bacteroidota; Bacteroidia; Marinilabiliales.
GUGGUUGUAGCUCAGUUGGUUAGAGCGCUGGAUUGUGGUUCCACAGGUCGUGGGUUCGAGACCCAUCUCCCACCCA